Molecule: long non-coding RNA, 372 nt
Filed under: Numida meleagris (helmeted guineafowl)
Lineage: Eukaryota; Metazoa; Chordata; Aves; Galliformes; Numididae
Description: lncRNA (ENSNMEG00000009926.1)
Source: RNAcentral
GUGCAGUGAGGUCACCUCUUGGCCUCCUCCAGGCUAAGCAGCACAAGUCCUCAGCCUCUCCUCACAGGACGUUCCUCUGGCCCUGCUACCAGCUUUUAGAAGACAAAUGUUGAGGAGUCCAUUUUAAGCAUUUUCUAAAUCCAGUCAUAGUAGUAAUUAUUCUCUCAGGGCAAAGACUCCUAAUUCCCACUUUUUCCAAGGAGGAAAAGCAAGGUGCCGCACUCCUCGUGAACAGAAGAGUUGAUGAAUACUGGCAAGUAGGAAUGUUACACAAAACUGACUUAUGCUGAUGAGAUUUCAGCCAUCAUCGCUGACAAAGCGGAAGAAGUAGAAUCAAAUAAACAUCAUAGAUACAUUUUAUGAAAUGGUUGA